CCUACGGGAGACAGCAGUGGGGGAUAUUGCACAAUGGGGGGAACCCUGAUGCAGCGACGCCGCGUGGGUGAAGAAGCGCCUCGGCGCGUAAAGCCCUGUCAGCAGGGAAGAAAAGGACGGUACCUGAAGAAGAAGCCCCGGCUAACUCCGUGCAAGCAGCCGCGGUACUACGUAGGGGUCAAGCGUUAUCCGGAUUUACUGGGUGUAAAGGGGGCGCAGCAGGCGGUGCCAGCCAGGAGUGAAAGCGCGGGGCCCAACGCCGGGACUGCUCGUGGAACUGCGUGGCUGGAGUGCAGGAGGGGCAGGCGGAAUUCCUGGUGUAGCGGUGAAAUGCGUAGAUAUCAGGAGGAACACCGGUGGCGAAGGCGGCCUGCUGGACUGCAACUGACGUUGAGGCCCGAAAGCGUGGGGAGCAAACAGGAUUAGAUACCCGUGUAGUC
Molecule: ribosomal RNA, 440 nt
Filed under: uncultured bacterium
Lineage: Bacteria
Description: partial 16S ribosomal RNA
Rfam family: Bacterial small subunit ribosomal RNA
Source: RNAcentral